GACGAACGCUGGCGGCGUGCCUAAUACAUGCAAGUCGAACGCUUUUUCUUUCACCGGAGCUUGCUCCACCGAAAGAAAAAGAGUGGCGAACGGGUGAGUAACACGUGGGUAACCUGCCCAUCAGAAGGGGAUAACACUUGGAAACAGGUGCUAAUACCGUAUAACACUAUUUUCCGCAUGGAAGAAAGUUGAAAGGCGCUUUUGCGUCACUGAUGGAUGGACCCGCGGUGCAUUAGCUAGUUGGUGAGGUAACGGCUCACCAAGGCAACGAUGCAGAGCCGGCCUGAGAGGGUGAUCGGCCACACUGGGACUGAGACACGGCCCAGACUCCUACGGGAGGCAGCAGUAGGGAAUCUUCGGCAAUGGACGAAAGUCUGACCGAGCAACGCCGCGUGAGUGAAGAAGGUUUUCGGAUCGUAAAACUCUGUUGUUAGAGAAGAACAAGGAUGAGAGUAAAACGUUCAUCCCUUGACGGUAUCUAACCAGAAAGCCACGGCUAACUACGUGCCAGCCGCCGCGGUAA
Molecule: ribosomal RNA, 523 nt
Filed under: uncultured bacterium
Lineage: Bacteria
Description: partial 16S ribosomal RNA
Rfam family: Bacterial small subunit ribosomal RNA
Source: RNAcentral